GGGCGGUUAACUCAGCGGUAGAGUGCCAUCCUCACACGGUGGAAGCCACUGGUUCAAAUCCAGUACCGCCUACCA
Molecule: transfer RNA, 75 nt
Filed under: Desulfobacca sp. RBG_16_60_12
Lineage: Bacteria; Pseudomonadati; Thermodesulfobacteriota; Desulfobaccia; Desulfobaccales; Desulfobaccaceae
Also listed under: 2 other names
Description: tRNA-Val
Rfam family: tRNA
About the family: Transfer RNA (tRNA) molecules are approximately 80 nucleotides in length. Their secondary structure includes four short double-helical elements and three loops (D, anti-codon, and T loops). Further hydrogen bonds mediate the characteristic L-shaped molecular structure. tRNAs have two regions of fundamental functional importance: the anti-codon, which is responsible for specific mRNA codon recognition, and the 3' end, to which the tRNAs corresponding amino acid is attached (by aminoacyl-tRNA synthetases). tRNAs cope with the degeneracy of the genetic code in two manners: having more than one tRNA (with a specific anti-codon) for a particular amino acid; and 'wobble' base-pairing, i.e. permitting non-standard base-pairing at the 3rd anti-codon position.
Source: RNAcentral